GAUGAACGCUGGCGGCGGGCUUAACACAUGCGAGUCGAACGGAAACGCCCUGCUAUUUUGGGGUUCUCGAGUGGCGAACGGGUGAGUAACACGUGAGUAACCUGCCCUACUCUUUGGGAUGAGUUAAGGAAACUGGGGCUAAUACCGGAUAGCAGCUCCUCCUCCAUGGUGGGGGUUGGAAAGUUUCGGCGGUUGGGGAUGGACUCGCGGCUGAUGAGCUUGUUAGUGGGGUAGUGGCUUACCAAGGCUUAGACGGGUAGCCGGCAUGAGAGGGUGACCGGGAACAAGGCGACUACGAUACGGCCCAGAGUCGUACGGGAGACAGCGGGGGGGAAUAUGGCCCAACGGGCCCAAGUCGGAUGCAGCAACGCCGCGUUCGGGAUGACGGUCUGCUGGUAGAAAACAGCAUUAGGUUGUUACGAAGCGUUUGUGACGGUACCGAAUGAAUAAGCACCGGCUAACUACGUG
RNAcentral lists this ribosomal RNA (468 nucleotides) under uncultured bacterium. RNAcentral's name for it is "partial 16S ribosomal RNA". It matches the Rfam family "Bacterial small subunit ribosomal RNA", at positions 28 to 507 of the family's 1533-position model. The record is from RNAcentral.